AUGAAUGAGGUGCGUAAUCUGUCUUAUGACAUGGAGGAUUACAUUGACAGCUUAAUAUUUGUGCGGCUUGAGCAUCCCUCCCUUGUUCCCAACAACAUCAAGACCACCUGGUCCGGCCUCAAAUUCAAACUCUGCCUCAAAUUCUACGGUCAUGCCAAGACUCCCAAGACUCAGCUUGUUAGUAUUGCGGAAACGCUAUCAGAAUUCAGGAUGUAUGUCCAGGUGGCGAUUGAACGGCACCAAAGAUACAGUCUUCAUUCUUGCAGCACAUUGAAGCGUAGGCUUGUGCCUACGCUUCCAAUUCCAACACUGUAUGAUGAAGAAGCUGUGCACAUCAUAAUCGAUGGUUGGAUUAAUGAAUUUAUCAACUCACUGGUAACUGAAGAAGUGGAGGAUCUAGAGCAGCAGCAGCUCAAGGUGGUAGCUCAGGUUUACGUGUAG
RNAcentral lists this ribosomal RNA (441 nucleotides) under Triticum aestivum (bread wheat). Its description in RNAcentral is "partial small subunit ribosomal RNA". Lineage: Eukaryota; Viridiplantae; Streptophyta; Magnoliopsida; Poales; Poaceae. The record is from RNAcentral.